UACGUAGGCGGAAAAUUAAGUCAGUAGUGAAAUCCUGCAGCUUAACUGUAGAACUGUUAUUGAUACUGGUUUUCUUGAAUAUAGUUGAGGUAGGCGGAAUGUGUAAUGUAGCGGUGAAAUGCCUAGAUAUUACACAGAACACCGAUUGCGAAGGCAGCUUACUAAGCUAUGAUUGACGCUGAGGUACGAAAGCGUGGGUAGCGAACAGGAUUAGAUACCCUGGUAGUCC
RNAcentral lists this ribosomal RNA (229 nucleotides) under uncultured bacterium. RNAcentral's name for it is "partial 16S ribosomal RNA". It matches the Rfam family "Bacterial small subunit ribosomal RNA", at positions 568 to 796 of the family's 1533-position model. The record is from RNAcentral.